CAUGCAAGUCGAGGGGCAGCAUGAUUGAAGCUUGCUUCAAUUGAUGGCGACCGGCGCACGGGUGAGUAACGCGUAUCCAACCUUCCGUACACUCAGGGAUAGCCUUUCGAAAGAAAGAUUAAUACCCGAUGGCAUAGUUCUUCCGCAUGGUAGAACUAUUAAAGAAUUUCGGUCAUCGAUGGGGAUGCGUUCCAUUAGGUUGUUGGCGGGGUAACGGCCCACCAAGCCUUCGAUGGAUAGGGGUUCUGAGAGGAAGGUCCCCCACAUUGGAACUGAGACACGGUCCAAACUCCUACGGGAGGCAGCAGUGAGGAAUAUUGGUCAAUGGACGAGAGUCUGAACCAGCCAAGUAG
This 353-nucleotide ribosomal RNA is filed under the name uncultured bacterium. RNAcentral's name for it is "bacterial SSU rRNA". It matches the Rfam family "Bacterial small subunit ribosomal RNA", at positions 54 to 396 of the family's 1533-position model. The record is from RNAcentral.